GAGGGAGGCGGGGAGAGGCGAGCGGCGGGACUCCGGCACCGCCAGUACGCGCUGCCAGCCCGGCAGCCAACUUCCCCGCUGGAGUUAGUGUAUAAAGGAUACCAUAUAUGCACACACACAUACACACACCUCUCCACCAAGGCGCUCCUCCUCCGCCUCCUCCCUCGACCAACUGCUGGAAUUAAAAUAAAAAGCAAAACAAACACCAAAAAAAAAAAAAAAAAAAAAAAAGACAACAAACCAAGCGAGAGAGCGAGCGGGAGAGGGAAAGAAACAAUUCGCGAGGUAACGAGAGAUUUCAACUUUUUAAAAAUAUUUUUUACUUCUUUUUUUUUUUUUUUUUUUUUUUCCGACCGCCUAAAGGAAAGGUAGAGAAAAAAAAAAUGUCUUAUCCAGAGCGUGACUCUAGCAAGAAGGCUCCGGCAGGACUCUUGUUUCAAAGGGGACAAAGUGCUCCAGCAACAGCACAACUUUGAGAAAUGCAUCAUCACCACCAUCACCACCAUCAUCAUCACAGGAAGUUUUCUUAGGACACCAACAAAACUUGCAAAUAAAAGAGCAAAAGGAGACCGAGGAACCGAGGAGAGAAAGACAGAGAGAGGCAGAAAAAAAGGAAAAUAUACCCACACACAAAGCCUUAAAGGAAGAAGAAAAGUUUCUCUCUGAGAGGGGAAGGCUGAGAGGAGGAGAUGUACUCCUAGGGGAGCGGAGGGGAGAAGGCACGGGGGCUUUUUGAUUCCCCCCCCCUUUUUCGCUUUUUAGCCUUUGUUUGGUUUCCUCCCUCCAAGCAGCAACCCCGGGCGAGAAGAAGGCGGAGGAAAAAUAUAUAUACAGCUAAAUAUUUCUCUUUUUUUUGGAAAAAAAAAAGAAAGGCUUAAAAAAAUAUAAAAGGCGAAGCGAGAGCCGGCGACCGCAACGAGCGCGCCGCGGAGCGGAGGCAGGACGGCCGGCGGACGAGCGGAGGAGAGCGCGCCGCGGAGCGCUAGCAGGUGAACCCCGCGCCCCGGCGCCCCGGCGAGGCUGGGAAGGCGGCGGCGGCGGCGGCGGCGCGGGCGGCGGCCCCGGCAGCGGCCCCGGCAGCGCGGGGCAAGGGCGCUCUCGCCGGGCGCCCGGCAGCCGGCGGCGGCGGCGCAGCGGCGGCUGCGGCGCGGCGGGGGAGAGCGGCGGGCAGCGGGCGCGGGAUGGCCGCGGCCACCUCUAACCCCUACCUCCCCGGCAACGGCAUCCUGGCGGCCGGCUCCAUCGUCCACGCGGACUCGGGCGGCGGCGGCGGCGGCGGCGGCGGCGGCAUGCAGCCGGGGAGCGUGGCCGUCACCUCGGUGGCGGGCGGCUACCGCGGCGACCCGGCGGCCAAGAUGGUCCAGAGCGACUUCAUGCCGGGCGCCAUGGCCGCCAGCAACGGCGGCCAUAUGCUGAGCCAUGCCCACCAGUGGGUGACAGCCCUGCCCCACGCUGCCGCCGCCGCCGCCGCCGCCGCCGCCGCCGCCGCCGAAGCGGGCUCGCCCUGGUCCGGCAGCCCCGUGGGCAUGACGGGCAGCCCCCAGCAGCCGCCGCCGCCGCCCGACGUCAAGGGCAGCGGCGGGCGCGACGAUCUGCACUCGGGCGCGGCGCUGCACCACCGGCCGCCCCACCUGGGCCCCCCGCACCAGGGGCACCCGGCGGCCUGGGGGGCGGCGGCGGCCGCCCACCUGCCCUCCAUGGCCGGCGGGCAGCAGCAGCAGCAGUCGCUCCUCUACUCGCAGCCCGGGGGCUUCACGGUGAACGGCAUGUUGAGUCCCCCCCCCGGCGGGCAGAGCCUGGUGCACCCGGGGCUGGUGCGCGGCGAGACGCCGGAGCUGGGCGAGCACCCCGGGCAUCACCACCACCACCACCACCAGCACCCCGGGCACCACCCGCCGCACCACGGCGGUGUCAACAGCCACGACCCGCACUCAGACGAGGACACGCCGACCUCCGACGACCUGGAGCAGUUCGCCAAGCAGUUCAAGCAGCGGCGGAUUAAACUGGGCUUCACCCAGGCCGAUGUGGGGCUGGCGCUGGGUACCCUCUACGGCAACGUCUUCUCGCAGACCACCAUCUGCCGCUUCGAGGCCCUGCAGCUCAGCUUCAAGAACAUGUGCAAGCUGAAGCCUUUGUUGAACAAGUGGCUGGAGGAAGCCGACUCCUCCACUGGCAGCCCCACCAGCAUCGACAAGAUCGCCGCCCAGGGCAGGAAGAGGAAGAAGCGGACCUCCAUCGAGGUCCCGCAACCAAGAGAAACAAAUAAAACUAGGGAGGGAGAGGAAGAAAGUUGAUUAAUACGUAUGUUCUAUCCAAUGCAUCGUGCUUUUGUGAUAUACGAGAGCCGAAGAUUUGUCUCCUGCACCUCUACGAGAUCUGCACAAGCACCCGUCCCAGCUGAAGGAAACGAUUCCACGCGUGAUGAGCAGGAACGACGUGUCCUGCCUACCCGACCGCCCACUGCACCUUAGUUACUAUGUUCCCACGUGGAAAACACAUCUCUUUCCUCAAUUUUCAAUUAAUUACAGCUGUAUUAGAUACGGGACCGGUGUGUGCGUGUGUGUGAAAUUUUGUACCCUCUUUUCUGUUGCAGGUAGAAGUUUUUUGUUUGUUUUACUUCUCUCCAAGAAAGAUCUGUUUGCAUGUAUAGGGGCUCGGUUGUUUGGUUUUUUCCUUGUCCUUUUGUCUUAAGCAAAAGCUGAGUUUUUGGGAUGGGAUGAAGGGACAAAAAAAGAGAGAGAGAAAGGAAGGGUAUCUUUGAGAAGGAGCUGGAGUGGGAAAAGGAAAAAAAAAAUCAAACAGCAAAAAAAUCCCAGCAACCCAAUUCCAGAGAGAAAGGGUGGGCAUAGAGGUUUUCCGAUUGCCAUUCUGCAGACUGGCAUUAAAAACAAACAAAGAAACAAAACAAAACAAAAUACACACUGAAGGCUGGAUCGAGGGAGAGCUUUACUUUUGUGAAGUGUAAGUUUCUGAGGACAAGAAAUUCUUGGUGACGUCUAGUGUCCCCCGGGACAGGCUCGUCCCCCCGGGGCCGCCGGAGACCGAGGGGCAGGCAAGGCGCGAGUGCGGCGCCCAGCCUGGGGAGAACUGCUGGCUCUCCCUCUCUCCUGCCCCUAACUUUGUGAAAGAGGGUCGUUAUCGUUGUGGAAAAGAUCGUUUCCCUGGCAAGAGAGGGGCAGCUGGGCUCCAGACCCUCCCUGCUACCAGCUCCCACUGAGGGUGUGAGCAGUCGGUGCGCGUACCCCAGCUCCGACGGGUCGACCCCCGUCUUUGCCCGGUCCACCUGAGCCAGUCCCACUCCACUUUCGCAUUCCACCCCUCGUGGAGGGGAUACUCCCCCGCAGCCGCCGCACUGGGCAAACAGGGGCAGCCCUGCGGCCAGCUGGCCAAACGGCGGCCCUGGGGCCUCCCCCCUGCACAUUGCCCGCGGGGUCUUUCCCAGACUUUGCCCUACUCUCUCAACUCCUCUCCCUGGCCUUACUCUUCCCCAGCUUUCCCAGCCGCCGCCCCGCUGAGCCCGGCACUCCUACCACCUAGGUCUCGCCGGUGGUGGGGCAGCCGGAGAGUGGCAGAGCAGGGGAUGACCAUCCCCUUUGGCAUCUCUCUCGGCUGCCUGCCUGCCCGUCCUGGUUUUUCCUGUCCUUAGCCCUGCGGCCGCCGCUCUGGCCUCCCUGGCACGCAUAGAGCACGGCCCAGCUGCCUCUUGUCCCGUCGGGGGCCUUUUUUCUUCUCUCCCCUCAUACCUUCCUGGGCACGGGCUGCAGCCACCCCCCCGCGAGAGGGUUCUGCGGAGCCCUUCAGCCUCGCUGCCCACCGCUGCCUCCUCGUCUCCGUCGGCAACACAAAAGCCCUGAGCAAAGCAGCCAAGCAAAGAUGGCACAGCAAAGCCGGUGCCCUCCCUGCAAUGCUAACUCCAAAGAGGAAACUUCCCUCCGGGGCUGCGCUCCUAAGCCCGGGACUCCCUUAACAUUUGCAGCUUUCGGUGGGAGAAGGAGGUGUUUGUCACCCAAGUUUCCUCUCGUACCUUUGUGUCACGCGAGGCGGGACAACGUUGCGCCUGUUUCGCAAGCCAAAAGGAAACUUCUGAGCGAUGGGCUCGGUGCCACGGGCUGGGAAGGGUCUCCGGAUCACACCCCUGCCCUACACCCCAUACACAACCUCCUCGCCUCUCUCUUUGAAACUGUGUUUAAAACAACAGCUGAAACACAAUUAAUUGUAACUGAUUAACAUGGAUUAGUUUGGCCUUCAAAGCACUUUAAGUCAAUUCAGCAGCCAUAAUAAUAAUUAAUUCAUUAAUAAGUACUAUUGGUGCUUCACCGCUAACGCCAAGAAAAGUUUCCCUGAGAAGUACAGGUGGCAGGGAGUGCUAAAAUGAAAACAUUCGCAUGCAACUUUUUAACCAGAAGGGAAAGCACUUUGGUUAUAUUUGGAGACAUGUGUCUCACACAUUUCCCCCGUUUUUUGUAAACUAUGUAAGAAUAAACAUUACAGCUCUGGGCUUUUAAUUUCUCCAGAUGGAACCAUAAAGUACCUAGUAGAUUUUUUUUUUAUAUAUAUACUAUACAAUUGAGGACACAUGUCUGCUUUUCCCGAUGAGGACAGAGAAGCAACUUAAUUUGAAGGCAUAACUACUGAACCACAUUUUGAAUAGCACACUCGAACAAGUUCACUUUAAAAGGCAGGAAACCGCUAAGAGCACAGCACUGAAAGUUGCUCCUUCCCACUUGAGCUCGCCCGCCUGACCUUCACAUACACUUUGUCGUUUCGCACACACUUACAGAAGUACACACGCGCGGAGGUGGCAGGGUGCCUAGCCAUGGAGGGGGCUUUUCCAAGGCGGUCGCAUCCCCGAGAGGCUCCCCCAGCUCGCUGCAGGCUGAAGAGGCCGCUCGGGAUCCCACCUUCGGCGCGACGGAGGAGCCCUCUGAUCCUCGGGUGACGUGAGAGGUCUCCUCCUGCCCACCCCGGCUGAAGUAAGGGAUUCACUUACCCUCUCGGCGCUCCUCUCCGCUCCUCACACACACACUUGUGCGCCCAGAAAAGCGCUCUCGUGAAGGGCAAAAGGAGGGAGGGAGCCUCGAACCCCCACCGCUCGGCUACCUUAGGGUUACAGGCGUGCUGAGGGGGAGGCAGGAACCCCUAGGCUGGACGACAAAUAAUAAUAAUAAAAAAGUAUUUAAUAAGUUCGAGGAUAAGAUUUCUUGCUUAAUUGUUUAUUUUUUGUUUGGUUGGUUUUGGGAGCGGACGCUGGUGAUUGGAAUGACCAAAAUACCUUACACAUCUCCCUAACUAGACUUAGCCUCCCUCCUCCUUCUCCCAGCCCCCCAACCCCCUCCCCCCAUUCUGACUUACAUGUGUUUAGAGCAAUGGCAAGGAGCUCCCAACUGGAGCCCUGGCAGAGGGUGCGUUUAAACUAGGAUGAUUUAGUCCCCGAGAGCUCGGGUCCUGACUGUGAGCCUCCAGCCCCGCGUCAGCUGGGCGCUGCAGACAAACAGUCUUAAAUAUGCAUAACGAACAGUUCGCUUUCUUAAAGGAGAACCUACCCCACUGGAAAGUUCAUGGCCUGACGGCAGGCACGGGAGCGGGGUGCGGGGGUGACCUUUGCGCCGGGACAGCCCUAACCCCUUCUCAAGGUGGUCUCCUUACACGCUCAGCGACAGGGCUGAGGGCAUCCGGCCGCCUUUCGGCUGGGGACUGGGGGAAGAAGCGUUGGCGGGUCAGUCACGGGCUUAGUGAGUUGCGGACCAGCGGCUUCACACACCGCCCCAGUCCCUCCUGUCCUCUGUGUGCGAGGGGCCGAGCCGCGCACUUGGAGCAGCCCAGCUCCGGCGGACCCCGCAGCAGCCACAGACCGGCUGCCCGAAAACUUGCGGGGUUCUACAAAGGGGGGAAACGCGGGACUCCAAAACAAGAAUAAAAAGUGUCUGGGGGGAAGGAGAGGGACUGAUUAAAUACCCAGCCAGUAGAGCCCAGGCAGGCUGUGGAGAUUCCAUGAGCGGCUUUUUGGAAAGGAGAAAUAACGCGGGGGAGGGACGAGAGACUGCCCGUGGAUUUCGCCCAGCUUCCCGGUUGGAAACCGGCCGGCCCCCUCUCCCCGGCCCUUGCAGGAUCUUCUCCCGGUAGGAGGGACGGCUACGCCAGGCCCUCGCUAGCCCACUUGCCCCUGGUUUUGCCCUGGGGGGCCCCCAGGGGCCGAGCCCCGACAGCCGCCGUGAGGGUGCAGGCGGCUCCGGGCGCUACCCACGGGAAAGAGGCAUCCCUCUGCGGGGCUGGCUCCCCCCGUUUCGGACAAUAAGAGUGGUUUUUUUAAAUUACUAUUCUUUUUUCCUCCCCUCCACACACGUGGUUGUAAAGUCUGUAGCGCCAUCUAACGGGAGGCGGAGGCCGGGCCGUGCCGCGGCGCCCAGGGCAGAGGAGAGAGGGGCUGGGGCGGGAUCGCCUUGGGAAGUGCCCCUGGCACGAGGAAGGGCGCUGAUCCUGUGCAUAAAACCUGCCCGAAAGGUGCUUUGUAACCCGACCAGGGCAUUAUCCUUCAGGAGCUUCCCCCAACUUCCGCGGUGUUAUUUUUAUUUAUUACAUCGUUGUAGCUGUGAAGAACUGGUAGAGUAACUGGGUUUUUUGGGAGGGGGGGCAGGGUAGGGAGGAGGAAUGAAUAAAUCCCAUCAGAGCCUGACACAGUUGGGGAUGAAAAGGAGGAGGCUCUCUCAACCCAGCACAUUUGACUCUUUCCCUUUUUUGGGAGGUCAGAGAGGGCCCCAGACAGCUGCUGCAUCUUACAGGCCUCAAAUUUCUGCUGCUUCUUUAGUAUCCCAGAAAGCUUUCUGUUUCCAAAAUUUUUGAGCACAUGCUAAAUGUUAUGGUUAAAUUAUGAUGCUGCCCUUUUGACAGAGCACUUCAGCCAUGCCUCUGUCCAUAUCCAGAUGGGAGGCUUCUGACUUGGUCGCCCCAGUUCUGUUUAAGCACCGCAUUAGUUGCCCAGAUAGGAGCCUGCUCACCCCAGGCCCAUGGCAUGAACAACCAAAAGAAACAGAGACUCUCCUCGACAUUUGGGCUCAUAUAAGAUCACAGCUAAUCUCUACAGGUGCCUGCCUUGCUACAGCUCUUGCCACCUGUAAGGACUCAAGUUAGAAUUAGAGAAUAUAGGUACUUCUGCUGAACAGGAUAGAAAUUUUUCUUUAGGUUUGAAAUUUUUCUUUAUUCUGCUUCUGUAUUUCUGUUACAGGUACAGAAUACAAGCUAAGUAUUCAAAUACACAUACCAUUUUACUGUAUUUACUUAGGUCUUCUGUACAUACAUGUUGGCAGGAGUCCCAAAGAAGCACAGAAAUCUUUCUGUCCAUACAUGAAAUCGUAAAAUGGUAGUGUAGCCUUCGGCUAGAAACAAUUGUAUUUUCAUGGGCCACUCAAACUGGAUGUAUUUUUCAGCCCAGGUUGUCCAAUGCCCUUAGAUGUCACUUCUGCAUGUGGCAAAUCCUGUAUGACUUAGAUGGCCAGGUUACAUUUGCCCAAGGGAUUUUGGCAGAUUAAGUAUCUGAGUGCCACUGACGUCCAUUCACAUUAUAAAAAUUAAACAGAAUGCCAUCAGUGAACUGGUUUUAUAGAAUAGAAAUGUUGAUGUGCAUAUCCACAGAGAGGAACAGACUUUCCUUUUUGAGACUGGAAAUGCUCCUCUUAUUCAACGAUUGAGAGGAAGGGCAAUUUCUGUCUACACUGAAAAGAAAAUGCAUUUUUGGGUUCAUGGGCAGUAGAAAACCUCUAAUAGUCAGGCUAGGAUAUCUCAGAGUAGGCAUGAAAAAUGAGACACAGUCCAGUUCAUUAGCUAUCUAUGAAGAGUUAGGCUAGAGAGGUUUAUGGAUAGUUCCAGUGAAGAAUUUACAUGUCUUAAAAGUUAGUUGUCUCAGUACUUAACUUUCAAGUGCCUUUCCCUAAGAUUGGCAUCCUUGAUGUUUUGUUUGGCAAUACUGUGAAUUGAGAAGGUGCGUAUAGACAAAUCUUUUGUGCCUUAUCCAAAGUCAUACUGUCCAACAAAGGACAAGAACAGCAGAGAAGCCCAGGCUUGUGGUUGCAUUGGGAAAUAGAAAUUACUGGUCUUAGCUGAGAGAAUUUUUUAAACCAAGAAAGGAAAAGCUUUUCCUCCACUUUUACAUGAAGAGUAGUGGAAGGACAGCUACCCAGUGUCUUUCAGAUGGAAGAUUCCUCCUGCUUGUUCACUCCACAAGGAGCGCAAAUCCAGAAGGACAGCAGAUGGCACAUUUUGCUGUCACGAUUUCCAGUUUCAGAAAGAUCCUCCUGACAUUGGUGAGGGAGACUUACUUUGAGCUCUGCAGUAGCAGGUAUUAAUUUGUUUCUAUUGGGAUGGGACAUAAAGAUUGUAAUUCAGCCUAAAAUAUGACACCUAUUUUCCCUUACUAUAUAAUCUAGAGUACCUUGGGGUUUUCCUUAUUAUUCAAAGGAGUGAAGCUUUGGUUUUGAAAUUACUUCAGUGUUGUGAGUUUUCUCAAACUUGAAAUACGAGAAUAGUUCCUUGAGCUAAUUCAAGGCAAUGCAUUUCUCAGGUCAGCCCCAGGAGAGCCACAGGCAGGAUCAGCUAUGGCAUGUCAAAGGUACCUUUCACUGUGCAACUUAUGUGGGUGAGCCUAUCACAAGCUUUUAAUUCCGAACUUGCUGAAGUUGUGGUGGAAGGUUUCUGUUUCUUCAAAAUUCUUUUGAUGAACCAUUGGUGGAUUAUGUGAUAGGCCUAUUUGGUGGUUUUUCUGUUUGUUUGUUUGUUUGCUGCUUGUUUUUUUUUAUUUUGUUUUCUAGGGGGUUAGUUCUGAUCCAACUGAAAAAACUCUCUGUCAGCGUCAAAGGCAUCUCUCAGUGUUCUUCCCAUCUCAGUGCAGAAAGAUAAGGGGCCAAACCCUUUUGAGGUUCUUCUAGUAAAGCGAGUAGCACAUGUAUUCCUUUGUACAAAAUUGGAGCAUUCAUCCACAUGAAGGUAUGAAUAAAAAUCUGAGAGAUCUUGUGUUUUGAGCUUAGAGCUUGCCUUCUCUUGAUAGGAGACAGCAUGGACACCGUGAUAAGGAUCAGUGAUACAACAUGUUUUCCUUCAUUAGAAACACAACCCUGACAUUAAAAACAGCCUGCUGAAGAAUCAUA
Pseudopipra pipra is the source of this 9137-nucleotide RNA transcript. It is a transcript of the gene named POU class 3 homeobox 3, with no coding region annotated. The record is from RefSeq and is a predicted model, not a curated record. The transcript is spliced from 3 exons. NCBI's taxonomy places the organism in Eukaryota, Metazoa, Chordata, Aves, Passeriformes, Pipridae.